Aspergillus nidulans FGSC A4 is the source of this 104-nucleotide small nucleolar RNA. It matches the Rfam family "A. fumigatus snoRNA Afu_264". NCBI's taxonomy places the organism in Eukaryota, Fungi, Ascomycota, Eurotiomycetes, Eurotiales, Aspergillaceae. The record is from Rfam.
UUGCAUGAUGAAACACACCUUUUCUUUCAAUAAUUUCUGGUACCUCUUAUGUCAGGGUCUCAGUCCUCGUGAUUGAGCCCAAUGAUCUAAAUGGACUUCUGAUA